This is a long non-coding RNA of Pan troglodytes (chimpanzee), 457 nucleotides long. RefSeq lists it as uncharacterized. The transcript is spliced from 3 exons. The record is from RefSeq and is a predicted model, not a curated record. NCBI's taxonomy places the organism in Eukaryota, Metazoa, Chordata, Mammalia, Primates, Hominidae.
CACAGCGACUUCAGGUAGUCUCGGUCUUAGCGGAGUCCGCGGACUUUCUUGUCCUUCUGCGUAGUGCACUAACUGAGCGACCAAUUGAUAACCUAAGUUUAGCUGAUCUUUUUAUUGAAUUAAUUAAAACUGUUUUGAAAUCUAUUCUGUAAGAGCCUGAGAAAAAUUGCGGCCACAGAAGCUGUUUUGAAAUGCGCUUGGCUUCCGACUUCCGCAAGGGGAGGCAGCUGUUUCUUGUAGUCUUGCUCUGUCACCUACACUGGAAUGCAGUGGCACAGUCUCAGCUCAGUUCACUGCAAUCUCCACCUCCCAGAUUCAAGUGAUUCUCAUACCUCAGCCUCCUGAGUAGCUGGGAUUACAGAGACCUGGACUUAAUUUCAGCUGGUGUACAGAGUUCUCUCCAAAAACAAGUGGCCUACUUCACAUUCAGUGAAUUGAUAUAUUCUUAUUUUAAGUU